AUUGAACGCUGGCGGCAGGCCUAACACAUGCAAGUCGAGCGAGCGGCGGACGGGUGAGUAAUGUCUGGGAAACUGCCUGAUGGAGGGGGAUAACUACUGGAAACGGUAGCUAAUACCGCAUACCAUCAGAUGUGCCCAGACGGGAUUAGCUUGUAGGUGGGGUAACGGCUCACCUAGGCGACGAUCCCUAGCUGGUCUGAGAGGAUGACCAGCAGCACGGGACCUGAGACACGGUCCAGCUUCCUACGGGUGGCAACAGGGGGGAGUAUUGCACAAGUGGCGCAAGCCUGAUGCAGCCAUGCCGCGGGUGUGAAGAAGGCCUUCGGGUUGUAAAGCACUUUCAGCGGGGAGGCGUUACCCGCAGAAGGAGCACCGGCUAACUCCGUGCCAGCAGCCGCGGUAAUUC
This 406-nucleotide ribosomal RNA is filed under the name uncultured bacterium. Its description in RNAcentral is "partial 16S ribosomal RNA". It matches the Rfam family "Bacterial small subunit ribosomal RNA", at positions 29 to 526 of the family's 1533-position model. The record is from RNAcentral.